CCUCGUGUGGCAGCAGUGAGGAAUAUUGGUCAACGGACGAGAGUCUAAACCAGCCAAGUAGCGUGAAGGAUGACUGCCCUAUGGGUUGUAAACUUCUUUUAUAUGGGAAUAAAAUGUUCCACGUGUGGGAUUUUGUAUGUACCAUAUAAAUAAGGAUCGGCUAACUCCGUGCCAGCAGCCGCGGUAAUACGGAGGAUCCGAGCGUUAUCCGGAUUUAUUGGGUUUAAAGGGAGCGUAGGUGGAUUGUUAAGUCAGUUGUGAAAGUUUGCGGCUCAACCGUAAAAUUGCAGUUGAAACUGGCAGUCUUGAGUACAGUAGAGGUGGGCGGAAUUCGUGGUGUAGCGGUGAAAUGCUUAGAUAUCACGAAGAACUCCGAUUGCGAAGGCAGUUCACUGGACUGCAACUGACACUGAGGCUCGAAAGUGUGGGUAUCAAACAGGAUUAGAUACCCCAGUAGUC
Molecule: ribosomal RNA, 459 nt
Filed under: uncultured bacterium
Lineage: Bacteria
Description: partial 16S ribosomal RNA
Rfam family: Bacterial small subunit ribosomal RNA
Source: RNAcentral